AUUUUUCGGCAAUGGGGCCAACCCUGCCCGAGGGACCCCGCGUGAGUGAAAAAGUUCNNNGGAUUNUCAACCUUUGUUGUAGGNGACNAACGUUACCGGUAGGGAUGAACUGUUACCUGACGGUACUUUACAAGAAGGCAACGCCUACCUAGGUGCCAGCAGCCGCGGUAAUACGUAGGUGGCAAGCGUUAUCCGGAAUUAUUGGGCGUAAAGGGAGCGCAGGCGGCUUAUUAAGUCUGAGGUUAAAGUUCGGGGCUCAACCCCGUGAUGCCUUAGAAACUGGUAGGCUAGAGUGCAGGAGAGGUGAGUGGAAUUCCAUGUGUAGCGGUAAAAUGCGUAGAUAUAUGGAGGAACACCAGUGGCGAAGGCGGCUCACUGGCCUGUAACUGACGCUGAGGCUCGAAAGCGUGGGGAGCAAAU
This 420-nucleotide ribosomal RNA is filed under the name uncultured bacterium. RNAcentral's name for it is "partial 16S ribosomal RNA". It matches the Rfam family "Bacterial small subunit ribosomal RNA", at positions 360 to 773 of the family's 1533-position model. The record is from RNAcentral.